AUUGAACGCUGGCGGAAUGCUUUACACAUGCAAGUCGAACGGCAGCACGGGGGCAACCCUGGUGGCGAGUGGCGAACGGGUGAGUAACACAUCGGAACGUGCCCAGUCGUGGGGGAUAACGUAGCGAAAGCUACGCUAAUACCGCAUACGAACUCUGGUUGAAAGCGGGGGACUCGCAAGGGCCUCGCGCGAUUGGAGCGGCCGAUGGCAGAUUAGGUAGUUGGUGGGGUAAAGGCCUACCAAGCCGACGAUCUGUAGCUGGUCUGAGAGGACGACCAGCCACACUGGGACUGAGACACGGCCCAGACUCCUACGGGAGGCAGCAGUAAGGAAUAUUGGUCAAUGGACGCAAGUCUGAACCAGCCAUGCCGCGUGGAGGAUGAAGGUCCUCUGGAUUGUAAACUUUCUUUUAUUUGGGAAGAAAUGUAGUAAAAUUUCUUUUUCUACUUGACGGUACCAGAUGAAUAAGCACCGGCUAACUCCGUGCCAGCAGCCGCAGUAA
This 502-nucleotide ribosomal RNA is filed under the name uncultured bacterium. Its description in RNAcentral is "bacterial SSU rRNA". It matches the Rfam family "Bacterial small subunit ribosomal RNA", at positions 30 to 523 of the family's 1533-position model. The record is from RNAcentral.